CAGCAUUUCGGUAAUAGCGGAAUAUAUCCCAGGACGAGACAAUGUACUGGUGGAUUGGAAGUCUCGAUAUCUUCGAGACGCAGGGGAUUGGCAUCUCCACCCGGGGGCCUUUCAACAAAGAUCUCUUCGCGUCUCGACUGAACACCCAACUCCCUCGGUUCUUCAGUUGGAGACAGGACCCAGAUGCUCUGGCGACAGACGCGUUCUUACAAGACUGGACCAAGG
This is a non-coding RNA of Pelobates cultripes (western spadefoot toad), 225 nucleotides long. The record is from the annotation of a GenBank genome assembly. Lineage: Eukaryota; Metazoa; Chordata; Amphibia; Anura; Pelobatidae.